GGAAAUGUGGCCUAGUGGUAGAGUGCUUGCCUAGCAUGCAUGAAGCCCUGGGUUCGAUUCCUCAGUACCA
This 70-nucleotide transfer RNA is filed under the name Dipodomys ordii (Ord's kangaroo rat). It matches the Rfam family "tRNA". From Rfam's summary of the family: Transfer RNA (tRNA) molecules are approximately 80 nucleotides in length. Their secondary structure includes four short double-helical elements and three loops (D, anti-codon, and T loops). Further hydrogen bonds mediate the characteristic L-shaped molecular structure. tRNAs have two regions of fundamental functional importance: the anti-codon, which is responsible for specific mRNA codon recognition, and the 3' end, to which the tRNAs corresponding amino acid is attached (by aminoacyl-tRNA synthetases). tRNAs cope with the degeneracy of the genetic code in two manners: having more than one tRNA (with a specific anti-codon) for a particular amino acid; and 'wobble' base-pairing, i.e. permitting non-standard base-pairing at the 3rd anti-codon position. Lineage: Eukaryota; Metazoa; Chordata; Mammalia; Rodentia; Heteromyidae. The record is from Rfam by way of RNAcentral.